CGGACGGGUGAGUAAUGUCUGGGAAACCGCCUGAUGGAGGGGGAUAACUACUGGAAACGGUAGCUAAUACCGCAUAACGUCGCAAGACCAAAGAGGGGGACCUUCGGGCCUCUUGCCAUCGGAUGUGCCCAGAUGGGAUUAGCUAGUAGGUGGGGUAAAGGCUCACCUAGGCGACGAUCCCUAGCUGGUCUGAGAGGAUGACCAGCCACACUGGAACUGAGACACGGUCCAG
This 232-nucleotide ribosomal RNA is filed under the name uncultured bacterium. RNAcentral's name for it is "partial 16S ribosomal RNA". It matches the Rfam family "Bacterial small subunit ribosomal RNA", at positions 99 to 334 of the family's 1533-position model. The record is from RNAcentral.